UCCCUGGUGGCUCAGAUGGUAAAGCAUCUGCCUGCAAUGCAGGGGACCUGGGUUCAAUCCCUGGGUAGGGAA
RNAcentral lists this transfer RNA (72 nucleotides) under Bos taurus (domestic cattle). It matches the Rfam family "tRNA". From Rfam's summary of the family: Transfer RNA (tRNA) molecules are approximately 80 nucleotides in length. Their secondary structure includes four short double-helical elements and three loops (D, anti-codon, and T loops). Further hydrogen bonds mediate the characteristic L-shaped molecular structure. tRNAs have two regions of fundamental functional importance: the anti-codon, which is responsible for specific mRNA codon recognition, and the 3' end, to which the tRNAs corresponding amino acid is attached (by aminoacyl-tRNA synthetases). tRNAs cope with the degeneracy of the genetic code in two manners: having more than one tRNA (with a specific anti-codon) for a particular amino acid; and 'wobble' base-pairing, i.e. permitting non-standard base-pairing at the 3rd anti-codon position. RNAcentral also lists the same sequence under 2 other names. The record is from Rfam by way of RNAcentral. Lineage: Eukaryota; Metazoa; Chordata; Mammalia; Artiodactyla; Bovidae.